UACGGAGGGGGCAAGCGUUGUUCGGAAUUAUUGGGCGUAAAGCGUAUGUAGGCGGCUAAGCAAGUCAGGCGUGCAAGCCCGUGGCUCAACCACGGAAUUGCGUUUGAAACUGCUUAGCUUGAGUACAGGAGAGGAAAGCGGAAUUCCCAGUGUAGCGGUGAAAUGCAUUGAUAUUGGGAAGAACAUCUGUGGCGAAGGCGGCUUUCUGGUCUGUUACUGACGCUGAGAUACGAAAGCCAGGGGAGCGAACAGG
Molecule: ribosomal RNA, 253 nt
Filed under: uncultured bacterium
Lineage: Bacteria
Description: partial 16S ribosomal RNA
Rfam family: Bacterial small subunit ribosomal RNA
Source: RNAcentral